RNAcentral lists this ribosomal RNA (1230 nucleotides) under metagenome. RNAcentral's name for it is "bacterial SSU rRNA". It matches the Rfam family "Bacterial small subunit ribosomal RNA", at positions 273 to 1515 of the family's 1533-position model. The record is from RNAcentral.
CCUUCGAUAGGUAGCUGGUCUGAGAGGAUGAUCAGCCACACUGGAACUGGAACACGGUCCAGACUCCCACGGGAGGCAGCAGUUGGGAAUAUUGGACAAUGGGCGCAAUGCCUGAUCCAGCAAUCCCGCGUGAGUGAUGAAGGCCUCCGGGUCGUAAAGCUCUUUUAGAGGGGAAGAAGGGGUAACCUUGACGGUACCCUCAGAAAAAGCACCGGCUAACUCUGUGCCAGCAGCCGCGGUAAUACAGAGGGUGCAAGCGUUGUUCGGAAUCAUUGGGCGUAAAGCGCGAGUAGGCGGCUUUUUAAGUCUGAUGUGAAAGCCCGGGGCUUAACCCCGGAAGUGCAUUGGAUACUGAAAAGCUAGAGGGUGUAAGAGGAGAGUGGAAUUCAUGGUGUAGGGGUGAAAUCCGUAGAUAUCAUGAGGAACAUCAGUGGCGAAGGCGGCUCUCUGGUACAUUUCUGACGCUCAGACGCGAAAGCAUGGGGAGCAAACAGGAUUAGAUACCCUGGUAGUCCAUGCCCUAAACGAUGAAUACUAGUUAUUGGGAUACCUAAUUGUCUCGGUGACGUAGCUAACGCAUUAAGUAUUCCGCCUGGGAAGUACGGUCGCAAGAUUAAAACUCAAAGGAAUUGACGGGGGCCCGCACAAGCGGUGGAGCAUGUGGUUUAAUUCGAUGCUACGCGAAAAACCUUACCUAGGCUUGACAUCCCACGCUACCCGGUGAAAGUCGGGGUCCUCUUCGGAGGCGUGGAGACAGGUGCUGCAUGGCUGUCGUCAGCUCGUGUUGUGAGAUGUUGGGUUAAGUCCCGCAACGAGCGCAACCCUCGUCACUAGUUACCAGCAUUAAGUUGGGCACUCUAGUGAGACCGCUGAGCUAUAAGCCAGAGGAAGGUGGGGAUGACGUCAAGUCCUCAUGGCCUUUAUGUCUAGGGCAACACACGUGCUACAAUGGGAGGCACAAUGCGUCGCAAGCGCGCGAGUGCAAGCUAAUCGCAAAAAACCUCUCUCAGUUCGGAUUGUAGUCUGCAACUCGACUACAUGAAGCUGGAAUCGCUAGUAAUCGUCGAUCAGCACGCGACGGUGAAUACGUUCCCGGGCCUUGUACACACCGCCCGUCACACCAUGGGAGUUGGACAUACCGGAAAACGCCGAGCUAACCGCAAGGAGGCAAGUGUUUAUGGUAUGGUCGAUGACUGGGGUGAAGUCGUAACAAGGUAACCGUACUAGUAC